Transfer RNA from Felis catus (domestic cat), 85 nucleotides. It matches the Rfam family "tRNA". Rfam says of the family: Transfer RNA (tRNA) molecules are approximately 80 nucleotides in length. Their secondary structure includes four short double-helical elements and three loops (D, anti-codon, and T loops). Lineage: Eukaryota; Metazoa; Chordata; Mammalia; Carnivora; Felidae. The record is from Rfam.
GCCUGGGUGGCUCAGUUGGUUAAGUGUCUGACUUCAGUUCAGGUCACAACCUCACGGUUCGUGGGUUCAAGCCCCGUGUCAGGCU